Molecule: ribosomal RNA, 301 nt
Filed under: uncultured bacterium
Lineage: Bacteria
Description: partial 16S ribosomal RNA
Rfam family: Bacterial small subunit ribosomal RNA
Source: RNAcentral
CAGCAGCCACGGGAAUACAGAGGGUGCGAGCGUUAAUCGGAUUUACUGGGCGUAAAGCGUGCGUAGGCGGCUUCUUAAGUCGGAUGUGAAAUACCUGAGCUUAACUUAGGAAUUGCAUUCGAUACUGGGAAGCUAGAGUAUGGGAGAGGAUGGUAGAAUUCCAGGUGUAGCGGUGAAAUGCGUAGAGAUCUGGAGGAAUACCGAUGGCGAAGGCAGCCAUCUGGCCUAAUACUGACGCUGAGGUACGAAAGCAUGGGGAGCAAACAGGAUUAGAUACCCCUGUAGUCCCUGUCUCUUAUAC